GACGAACGCUGGCGGCGUGCCUAAUACAUGCAAGUCGAACGAACCGCGACUGAGUGCUUGCACUUGGUCGAGGUGAGUGGCGAACGGGUGAGUAACACGUGGGUAACCUACCUCAUAGUGGGGGAUAACAGUCGGAAACGACUGCUAAUACCGCAUAGGACAUAGAAUCACAUGAUUCUGUGAGGAAAGGUGGCGCAAGCUAUCGCUAAGAGAUGGACCCGCGGUGCAUUAGCUAGUUGGUAGGGUAACGGCCUACCAAGGCGAUGAUGCAUAGCCGACCUGAGAGGGUGAUCGGCCACAUUGGGACUGAGACACGGCCCAAACUCCUACGGGAGGCAGCAGUAGGGAAUCUUCCGCAAUGGACGCAAGUCUGACGGAGCAACGCCGCGUGAGUGAAGAAGGUCUUCGGAUCGUAAAGCUCUGUUGUUAGAGAAGAACAGCGCAUAGAGUAACUGCUAUGCGUGUGACG
This 469-nucleotide ribosomal RNA is filed under the name Abiotrophia defectiva. RNAcentral's name for it is "bacterial SSU rRNA". It matches the Rfam family "Bacterial small subunit ribosomal RNA", at positions 28 to 474 of the family's 1533-position model. Lineage: Bacteria; Bacillati; Bacillota; Bacilli; Lactobacillales; Aerococcaceae. The record is from RNAcentral.